This 650-nucleotide unclassified non-coding RNA is filed under the name Hevea brasiliensis (rubber tree). Lineage: Eukaryota; Viridiplantae; Streptophyta; Magnoliopsida; Malpighiales; Euphorbiaceae. The record is from RNAcentral.
CCUUCCUAUCACUAUUCACUAAAUUCGUGAAUUCAUGCUUUGACAAUGGCGAGGUUGAAAACAUGAAAAACGACGUGGUUUUGUGAUACACCAAAUAAAAAAGGCAAAUAAAAGAACCAUCUGUAAAUUUGCAGUUGGGAGUUGGGUGGCCUUCUUUUGUUUCAUUUUUCAAUCUCUUGAGUCAGGCGGUUACUUCUACGCUCCCUUCCCUCGUUUCCUCCGCCCCUCUUUCUUCUCUUAUACUCUCCUUCCUUUCCUCCUGUUUCCCUCACUUUCCCUUUGCUUUCUAAGCUCCUCUUACUAAGAGAAAGCGCAAUGGCUUCUGCUUUCUCUGCCACCAAGUUCACCCUUCUCAAUUCCACCACCCCCAGAUCUCACGAUAACCAACCUCUUUACGAUCCUCUCAAAAGCACCACUUCUUUUCUGGGAUCUACUCGUAAGCUUCGUUUCACUUCUUUUCCCAAAUUGAAAAUACUCAAUUCCCAACGUCGGUCACCUGUUGUUGCCGUUUCCGAAGCCGUUAAGGAAAAGAAGCUUAAAUCAACCUCCAAUCUGUUGAUCACAAAGGAAGAAGGCUUGGUACUAUAUGAGGAUAUGGUGUUAGGGAGAGCCUUUGAGGAUAUGUGUGCCCAGAUGUAUUACAGGGGAAA